RNAcentral lists this ribosomal RNA (497 nucleotides) under uncultured bacterium. RNAcentral's name for it is "partial 16S ribosomal RNA". It matches the Rfam family "Bacterial small subunit ribosomal RNA", at positions 28 to 507 of the family's 1533-position model. The record is from RNAcentral.
GAUGAACGCUGGCGGCGUGCCUAAUACAUGCAAGUCGAGCGAACAGACGAGGAGCUUGCUCCUCUGACGUUAGCGGCGGAAGGGUGAGUAACACGUGGAUAACCUACCUAUAAGACUGGGAUAACUUCGGGAAACCGGAGCUAAUACCGGAUAAUAUAUUGAACCGCAUGGUUCAAUAGUGAAAGACGGUUUUGCUGUCACUUAUAGAUGGAUCCGCGCCGCAUUAGCUAGUUGGUAAGGUAACGGCUUACCAAGGCAACGAUGCGUAGCCGACCUGAGAGGUUGAUCGGCCACACUGGAACUGAGACACGGUCCAGACUCCUACGGGAGGCAGCAGUAGGGAAUCUUCCGCAAUGGGCGAAAGCCUGACGGAGCAACGCCGCGUGAGUGAUGAAGGUCUUCGGAUCGUAAAACUCUGUUAUUAGGGAAGAACAAAUGUGUAAGUAACUAUGCACGUCUUGACGGUACCUAAUCAGAAAGCCACGGCUAACUACGUG